GACAGCAGCGCCACGGUAAUACAGAGGGUGCGAGCGUUAAUCGGAUUUACUGGGCGUAAAGCGUGCGUAGGCGGCUUCUUAAGUCGGAUGUGAAAUCCCUGAGCUUAACUUAGGAAUUGCAUUCGAUACUGGGAAGCUAGAGUAUGGGAGAGGAUGGUAGAAUUCCAGGUGUAGCGGUGAAAUGCGUAGAGAUCUGGAGGAAUACCGAUGGCGAAGGCAGCCAUCUGGCCUAAUACUGACGCUGAGGUACGAAAGCAUGGGGAGCAAACAGGAUUAGAUACCCCCGUAGUCCCUGUCUCUUAUACA
RNAcentral lists this ribosomal RNA (306 nucleotides) under uncultured bacterium. RNAcentral's name for it is "partial 16S ribosomal RNA". It matches the Rfam family "Bacterial small subunit ribosomal RNA", at positions 507 to 808 of the family's 1533-position model. The record is from RNAcentral.